AGCUGUGAGUGCCAAAGGUUUAACAAAAAUUGAUGGGAAAAACUUAACAUUGAGAAAAUUGUAUCUUUGAGCAUAAUUUGGACAAGCUUCCACUAUUCUAUUUUAGUGAAGGAACAUUUCUUUCCAACUUCGGAGUGCCACUGAAGUUCAGUCUGCAGGGAGAGCUGGGUUGGGUGCUGGGGUUAGGGUGGGAGUAGGUGGGAUGGGGUGGGGGUGAGGGAGGUGAGUUUGGAGGAAGUUGGGUAGGGGCUGUGUAUUGGGGAUCUGAGGAAUUUGGGUCUGAUUCUUCAAGCCAUGGUAAGUUGUAGAGUAAAGGAGUGACAAAUGGAAGGGGGAAAUUUGGGAACGACAAACCUGAUGAGGGUGAAGGGUAGGUUGAAGUGCAUCAUAGCAGAGAGGUGAGAGAAAGAGAGCACAGACCUGGCUGAAGAGAUGGGGGAUCAGAAAAAGCAUUCUUCAGAUGCCUUCUUGUCCCGGCUCAGAACACCCCAAAGCUCAGAGGAACAGGACUGGGUUCACAAGGAAGAACAGGGAAGCUGUCUGGGCUAUCAACACUCUUCAGUGUCUUGGAAUCAACCCAGCAUGUCCUGCUGCUGCUGCUUUCUGCCUCUGCUAGCUUGGAUCCGGUAGGAAGAACAGAGUUUUACAUUCCUUCAGCACACCAGGGAUUUGUUCAUCAGGGCUGAUCUUGAAUGGUGGAGAUAGAUUCAAGCCAUUUUGAGCCCAGGUCCAGGGUAAACAAGUAACAGAAUCCUGUAGGCUGUUACAUUUGUUGUUUUAAAAAGACUUGGUACAUUAUUUGUAAGGGAGUGCCGUGGGAAGUAAAAUAGUUCUUUCAGCUGGCAGGCAUGCCUAUCUGUCAUGAUACUUAAAAAAAAUUAAACUUAUGGCCUAAUUCCAAUCAGAGAGGUUUCAGAUAUUUAAUAAUCUCAUUUGUUACAGUUUCUCCAAAAGCAUUUGUUUUUGUUAAGUUUUAAAAUCAAUCUUCUCCAUUCACCCUAAUUGGGAGUUACAAAGACAUUUUAAAUUGUAAAAUCAUUCUAUAUCCAUUGUAUACAGUUAGGGAAAUAUAAAAAAUAAUUACAAAUAAACUAAACAUCCAUCAUUCUAGAAAUGAAUACUGUUAACAUUUAAGCAUAUUUCCUCCCUGUCUUUUUUUCUUGCUGUUUUACAUAAUGGAGAUUUUAAAAGAUAAAAAGCUUUGUAUUUUUUCCUAGUAUUAUGUCAUAGGAGUGGCUCUAGGUUAUUAAACAUUCUUCAAAAACUCAAUUUUUAAAGUUUGCUUAGUAUGUCUUCUUAUAGCUAUAAUAUGAUUUGCUUGUUUCCCUAAUGUUGAUUGAGUAUUAGGCUGUUUCCAAUUUUUUGAGGUUAAAAAAAACACUACCGUGAAUAUCUUUGUGUGUGUGUGUGUGUGUGUGUGUGUGUGUUUGUGUGUGUUUUAGUAUAGGUAUGACAGUAGGCGAUCUGGCUACAUUCUGUUGCCUAUUUUAGAUGGGGAUAGGACUGCCCCCUUGCCAUUAUGAAUGACAGCUGUCAGCCAAAGAGAGGGCUGCGCUAGAGACUGUCAAUCUGGCUCCUGGGAGAAGGGAUAACACUCAGCACAGGAAUGUUGUAAACACGUUAGGGAGGUCUUGCAAUUCCACUUUGAAAUGGAGGAACCUAAACUACAAUCCAUUUUCACAUGAGGUCGGGUUUGUUCAGGGUGGUAUGGCCAUAGAUAACAAUCCAUUUUCAAAGGAAACAGAGGUUUUCAAAAAGCCUUUUGAAUGGACUGGGCUAGUAUUGUGUGAUUUUUAAAUUAAAUUACACAUGUUAAAAAUGGGCGAUCUAAUGAAAUAGAGAAUAGAGGUUACUUUGAAUGAUAAACUAGUAGGAAUAGUAUUCGUGAAGUUCCAGGCAGGCUGACUUCCUUGGUGAGUUCACCGGGGUGACAGGACGAGUGUUGGAGUUGGCAAAGCAGAAUUCUAAUACCAGCUGGGCCAUAUUGGGCAGGUUGCUUGAUGUCUCUGAGCCUCAGAUUCCCCACUAACAAAAUGAGGCUGAUAAUGACACUAAUAUUUCUCACCUGCAGUUUGUUGUUGAGAGGAUUUAAACACCAAGGGAGGAUCAGUAAAUGGCAGCUAAGGCUGUGCCCUAAGGGAUGGCUGAGGCUUGUUCUUAACCCAGAAUUCAAAAUAGGCCUGCCUGACCUCAGGACAGCGCAACACAAGAGACUUGCACGUACAGAACAUGGAUGUAAAGAGGGAAUCCUGGGUUAUAGUUUCAGAAUCCACUGUGGGGAUCUUAAACCCUCUCUCUUCAGCCUUUAAUAAAUGAUUUAAUUUGCACACUGGACAGUUCAACACUAUUUUUUUUUUUUUUUUUUUUUUGCCCCAGCCUGUGAAAAGGGACGGGGUUGGGCUAAGGCAACGUUGAAACAUUGCAUUCCUCUGCCAGAAGCUUAAAAACCCUGCAAUCAAACCCGAGGCCCUAUGCGGAAACAAGUGUAUCCGAUGACAGCUUAUUAUGGAAGGUUCUGAACUUCUAAGAAUUCCUUAGUAGGAGACAAACAAAAUACAAAGAUAUCCUCCUAAUUUUCUGCGACUGGGAAUUUUUGUUUUUCUCUUCCUCACUUCUCCCAUCCAUUCUGCAUGUUUGUUAAAAUGUAGGCACACAGGGUCCACGGUGUGUGGUACUUGAGUGGGCAAAAGGCUAGUUCAGCUGGCCAGCGAGGCAGACAAGACGUGGUUCAACACACGCAUUGCUGGGAGCUGGGACUUCUCCUUCAUUAGUUAAACAUGGGCAUGAAGUAAAGAUUUCUGGUGUGUGUGUCUGUGUGUUUUCAAACGGCAGGUUCAGCACUUCUAAGUACAUAGCAUGAUAGGAAGAGAAGUCUGUAAUCACCUCUCAUGUCUGGGGUCCUGAUGGGCCCAGAGCAGAUUUGAUUUACGUUAUCUUCAAGCGGGAAACUUGUCAUCCAGUCUUCAUUUGCCCUUCUCUCUGGGCAGGAAAGAGCUCCAUUUUUCCCGCUCCACAGAGGACAUUUUAUUUUUGCAGUUCUUUGAAGUGCCCUCAGAGAUCUAAGCACCAGGCUGAAGGCAGCUCUGUGUAUCCUUGCAACAGAUUAGAACAUAUUCACAUUUUAUUUGCUCACAGAACAAAUAUUUCCCUUGGAAUGAGACCGAGGCAGUGGAGCAGGACCAGGCAGGACCAGCCACCAAAGACGGCCCCCCAGGCCCCAUGCUGGGCCUGCUCAGCGCCUGCACAAUUGGUUCCACAUAAUUGCUUCUCCACACUCACCUCAUUUAGGCCCUAUAGACACAUAUGGGCUGAUUAGUUGAGUCAUUUAUUGAUUCAGGAAUAUUUGUCGAGCCUCAACAAUGUACCAAACACUAUGCUGGUUACAGAAAUAAAGAGAGAAACACAUUCUGUCCUCAAGGGGCUCCUAAUCAAGUAGGGGAGAGAAGCAAUGUCUGUAUAUUAAUGAAUCAAAUCAAGGUGACAAAGAUAAGGCUUCAGAACCCAGGAGACAAAGUGUUUGAGGCCGAAGCUCCCUAGCGCUGGGGCCUCCACUCUGGGAAGGGCCCUGUGGGUGAAUCUCUGAGCGUUUACUGGGCUCCUUCUCUACCUGGGCUGCCGCACCCAGAACAGUUCUUAGAGUUUCCAGCCUCCUGAGCUCGCGGAAUAGCAAAGGUGGGUUCUACUGGACUUGGGGCAGAGGAGGUCUAAAUGUGAGAAUCCCUGAGGCAAAUGUUAGAAGAAAGGGCAGUGCGGCCGGGCAGGGGAUCUCCAGCUCUCUCACAAUGCAUGGCUGCCCUGGCUAGAUCUGGGCUGUGUGGAGCUGUUUAAACAACGAACAAGGGGCCAGGCACGGUGGCUCACGCCUGUAAUCCCAGCACUUUGGGAGGCCAA
RNAcentral lists this long non-coding RNA (3891 nucleotides) under Homo sapiens (human). Its description in RNAcentral is "HSALNT0316821". Lineage: Eukaryota; Metazoa; Chordata; Mammalia; Primates; Hominidae. The record is from RNAcentral.